GACGAACGCUGGCGGCGUGCUUAACACAUGCAAGUCGAACGGAAAGGCCCUGCUUUUGUGGGGUGCUCGAGUGGCGAACGGGUGAGUAACACGUGAGUAACCUGCCCUUGACUUUGGGAUAACUUCAGGAAACUGGGGCUAAUACCGGAUAGGAGCUCCUGCUGCAUGGUGGGGGUUGGAAAGUUUCGGCGGUUGGGGAUGGACUCGCGGCUUAUCAGCUUGUUGGUGGGGUAGUGGCUUACCAAGGCUUUGACGGGUAGCCGGCCUGAGAGGGUGACCGGCCACAUUGGGACUGAGAUACGGCGCAGACUCGUACGGGAGGCAGCAGGGGGGAAUAUUGCACAAUGGGCGGAAGCCAGAUGAAGCAACGCCGCGUGCGGGAUGACGGCCUUCGGGUUGUAAACCGCUUUCGCCUGUGACGAAGCGUGAGUGACGGUAAUGGGUAAAGAAGCACCGGCUAACUACGUG
Molecule: ribosomal RNA, 468 nt
Filed under: uncultured bacterium
Lineage: Bacteria
Description: partial 16S ribosomal RNA
Rfam family: Bacterial small subunit ribosomal RNA
Source: RNAcentral